CAGUAGCCGCGGUAAUACGAAGGGGGCUAGCGUUGUUCGGAAUUACUGGGCGUAAAGCGCACGCAGGCGGCUCGAUAAAUUAGAAGUGAAAGCCUUGGGCUUAACCUGAGAAUUGCUUUUAAGACUGUCGAGCUAGAAUCCAGAAGAGGGUAGUGGAAUUCCGAGUGUAGAGGUGAAAUUCGUAGAUAUUCGGAAGAACACCAGUGGCGAAGGCGACUACCUGGUCUGGCAUUGACGCUCAUGUGCGAAAGCGUGGGGAGCAAACAGGAUUAGAUACCCCAGUAGUCCUUGUCUCUUAUAC
Molecule: ribosomal RNA, 301 nt
Filed under: uncultured bacterium
Lineage: Bacteria
Description: partial 16S ribosomal RNA
Rfam family: Bacterial small subunit ribosomal RNA
Source: RNAcentral